RNAcentral lists this ribosomal RNA (1439 nucleotides) under uncultured Ralstonia sp. RNAcentral describes it as "bacterial SSU rRNA". It matches the Rfam family "Bacterial small subunit ribosomal RNA". The record is from RNAcentral. Lineage: Bacteria; Pseudomonadati; Pseudomonadota; Betaproteobacteria; Burkholderiales; Burkholderiaceae.
UGAUCAUGGCUCAGAUUGAACGCUGGCGGCAUGCCUUACACAUGCAAGUCGAACGGCAGCAUGAUCUAGCUUGCUAGAUUGAUGGCGAGUGGCGAACGGGUGAGUAAUACAUCGGAACGUGCCCUGUAGUGGGGGAUAACUAGUCGAAAGAUUAGCUAAUACCGCAUACGACCUGAGGGUGAAAGUGGGGGACCGCAAGGCCUCAUGCUAUAGGAGCGGCCGAUGUCUGAUUAGCUAGUUGGUGAGGUAAAGGCUCACCAAGGCGACGAUCAGUAGCUGGUCUGAGAGGACGAUCAGCCACACUGGGACUGAGACACGGCCCAGACUCCUACGGGAGGCAGCAGUGGGGAAUUUUGGACAAUGGGGGCAACCCUGAUCCAGCAAUGCCGCGUGUGUGAAGAAGGCCUUCGGGUUGUAAAGCACUUUUGUCCGGAAAGAAAUCGCACUUACUAAUAUUAGGUGUGGAUGACGGUACCGGAAGAAUAAGGACCGGCUAACUACGUGCCAGCAGCCGCGGUAAUACGUAGGGUCCAAGCGUUAAUCGGAAUUACUGGGCGUAAAGCGUGCGCAGGCGGUUGUGCAAGACCGAUGUGAAAUCCCCGGGCUUAACCUGGGAAUUGCAUUGGUGACUGCACGGCUAGAGUGUGUCAGAGGGGGGUAGAAUUCCACGUGUAGCAGUGAAAUGCGUAGAGAUGUGGANGANUACCGAUGGCGAAGGCAGCCCCCUGGGAUAACACUGACGCUCAUGCACGAAAGCGUGGGAGCAAACAGGAUUAGAUACCCUGGUAGUCCACGCCCUAAACGAUGUCAACUAGUUGUUGGGGAUUCAUUUUCCUUAGUAACGUAGCUAACGCGUGAAGUUGACCGCCUGGGGAGUACGGUCGCAAGAUUAAAACUCAAAGGAAUUGACGGGGAACCCGCACAAGCGGUGGAUGAUGUGGAUUAAUUCGAUGCAACGCGAAAAACCUUACCUACCCUUGACAUGCCACUAACGAAGCAGAGAUGCAUUAGGUGCUCGAAAGAGAAAGUGGACACAGGUGCUGCAUGGCUGUCGUCAGCUCGUGUCGUGAGAUGUUGGGUUAAGUCCCGCAACGAGCGCAACCCUUGUCUCUAGUUGCUACGAAAGGGCACUCUAGAGAGACUGCCGGUGACAAACCGGAGGAAGGUGGGGAUGACGUCAAGUCCUCAUGGCCCUUAUGGGUAGGGCUUCACACGUCAUACAAUGGUGCAUACAGAGGGUUGCCAAGCCGCGAGGUGGAGCUAAUCCCGGAAAAUGCAUCGUAGUCCGGAUCGUAGUCUGCAACUCGACUACGUGAAGCUGGAAUCGCUAGUAAUCGCGGAUCAGCAUGCCGCGGUGAAUACGUUCCCGGGUCUUGUACACACCGCCCGUCACACCAUGGGAGUGGGUUUUGCCAGAAGUAGUUAGCCUAACCGCAAGG